UGGGGAAUAUUGCACAAUGGGCGCAAGCCUGAUGCAGCCAUGCCGCGUGUGUGAAGAAGGCCUUCGGGUUGUAAAGCACUUUCAGCGGGGAGGAAGGCGAUAAGGUUAAUAACCUUGUCGAUUGACGUUACCCGCAGAAGAAGCACCGGCUAACUCCGUGCCAGCAGCCGCGGUAAUACGGAGGGUGCAAGCGUUAAUCGGAAUUACUGGGCGUAAAGCGCACGCAGGCGGUCUGUCAAGUCGGAUGUGAAAUCCCCGGGCUUAACCUGGGAACUGCAUUCGAAACUGGCAGGCUAGAGUCUUGUAGAGGGGGGUGGAAUUCCGGGUGUAGCGGUGAAAUGCGUAGAGAUCUGGAGGAAUACCGGUGGCGAAGGCGGCCCCCUGGACGAAGACUGACGCUCAGGUGCGAAAGCGUGGGGAGCAAACAGG
This 429-nucleotide ribosomal RNA is filed under the name Chloroflexota bacterium. RNAcentral describes it as "Chloroflexi bacterium partial 16S ribosomal RNA". It matches the Rfam family "Bacterial small subunit ribosomal RNA", at positions 355 to 776 of the family's 1533-position model. The record is from RNAcentral. Lineage: Bacteria; Bacillati; Chloroflexota.